GACGAACGCUGGCGGCGUGCUUAACACAUGCAAGUCGAACGGAAAGGCCCUGCUUUUGUUGGGUGCUCGAGUGGCGAACGGGUGAGUAACACGUGAGUAACCUGCCCUUGACUUUGGGAUAACUUCAGGAAACUGGGGCUAAUACCGGAUAGGAGCUCCUGCUGCAUGGUGGGGGUUGGAAAGUUUCGGCGGUUGGGGAUGGACUCGCGGCUUAUCAGCUUGUUGGUGGGGUAGUGGCUUACCAGGGCUUUGACGGGUAGCCGGCCUGAGAGGGUGACCGGCCACAUUGGGACUGAGAUACGGCCCAGACUCCUACGGGAGGCAGCAGUGGGGAAUAUUGCACAAUGGGCGGAAGCCUGAUGCAGCAACGCCGCGUGCGGGAUGACGGCUUUCGGGUUGUAAACCGCUUUCGCCGGUGACGAAGCGUGAGUGACGGUAAUGGGUAAAGAAGCACCGGCUAACUACGUG
Molecule: ribosomal RNA, 468 nt
Filed under: uncultured bacterium
Lineage: Bacteria
Description: partial 16S ribosomal RNA
Rfam family: Bacterial small subunit ribosomal RNA
Source: RNAcentral